UACGUAGGGUGCAAGCGUUGUUCGGAAUUACUGGGCGUAAAGGGCGCGUAGGCGGCCUUCUAAGUCGAACGUGAAAUCCCCGGGCUCAACCCGGGAACUGCGUCCGAUACUGGAAGGCUUGAAUCCGGGAGAGGGAUGCGGAAUUCCAGGUGUAGCGGUGAAAUGCGUAGAUAUCUGGAGGAACACCGGUGGCGAAGGCGGCAUCCUGGACCGGCAUUGACGCUGAGGCGCGAAAGCUAGGGGAGCAAACGGG
RNAcentral lists this ribosomal RNA (253 nucleotides) under uncultured bacterium. Its description in RNAcentral is "partial 16S ribosomal RNA". It matches the Rfam family "Bacterial small subunit ribosomal RNA", at positions 524 to 776 of the family's 1533-position model. The record is from RNAcentral.